This 881-nucleotide ribosomal RNA is filed under the name Nipponoparmelia laevior. Its description in RNAcentral is "SSU rRNA". It matches the Rfam family "Bacterial small subunit ribosomal RNA", at positions 356 to 1099 of the family's 1533-position model. Lineage: Eukaryota; Fungi; Ascomycota; Lecanoromycetes; Lecanorales; Parmeliaceae. The record is from RNAcentral.
GGGGGGAUUUGGUCCAUAGCNUAACGGNUGANCCAGCACCUUGGAGGAAUGNUAUAGCAAUAGCUACUUGCAUCAUUGCCCUUAUGAUGCAAGAUCGACUAUGUCGAAUAAAUUCUAGGUGGAAUUAUGAUAAUGCCAUUGUCUGCCUAUGUGUCUUGACCAAAUUACGUGCCAGCAGUCGCGGUAAUACGUAGAAGACUAGUGUUAUUCAUCUUUAAUCGGUUUAAAGGGUACCUAGACGGCAAAUCAAGCUUUCUUUUAAAAAGAAUUAAAGGACUAAUUUGCUAGAGUUACUUAUGAGGGGGUAUUAAAGUACUGGUGGUGUAGAGAUGAAAUUCUGUCAUACCUCAUUUCGAAAUACAAUAGAAAUAUUAUGGCACAGGUAUAGGCGAAGGCAUCCCCUUAUGUGAUAACUGACGUUGAGGGACGAAGGCUUUGUAUAGCGAACAGGAUUAGAUACCCUAGUAGUCGAAGCAGAAAAUGAUGAAUGUCAUAGAUUAGAUAUAUAAGUUUAUUCUAUAAAUGAAAGUGUAAGCAUUCCACCUCAUGAGUAAUUUGGCAACAUUGGAACUGAAAUCAUUAGACCGUUUCUGAAACCAGUAGUGAAGUAUGUUGUUUAAUUUGAUAACCCGCAAAGAACCUUACCACAAUUUGAAUAUUUAUAUUUGUUAUUGUUUUCUUAUUAAUUACCUUCCAAUAAGAAAAAAGAUCCAAAAUAAGAAAAAAAGAAAAAAAAAGGAAAAUGCAAAUUAAGAAAAACGAAAAGAAAAAGAAGAAAAAGAAGAAAAUUAAUAAAGAGGCAAUAAGAUAUAUUUACAAGCGUUGCACGGCUGUCUUCAGUUAAUGUCGCGAGACUUUGGUUAGUUCCAUUAAAUUNNNGU